Long non-coding RNA from Mya arenaria, 459 nucleotides. RefSeq lists it as uncharacterized. NCBI's taxonomy places the organism in Eukaryota, Metazoa, Mollusca, Bivalvia, Myida, Myidae. The record is from RefSeq and is a predicted model, not a curated record. The transcript is spliced from 4 exons.
CUUGAAUACUCUCCAUUGAAGGAGAUACCAUGUGGGAGGAAAGUGUCACGUGACAAAUUCACUCAAUGGCGGAGGAUUAAACAAACGGACUAUCGAAGGGAGUCUUGGGGUACUGAACGGAACCGUCCCGACACCUGACCUGGGUAGGAUAAAGCUGCCGGUGUCCUCGCCGACCGCCAUUCAUUUAUGACGUGCUGGCGGGCUAGUGAAUUGACCUCUGUGGGUGCAAGAGGGACCAGAUCAUUCACCUUCACACGCCUGAGGCCCUCCUUUGCAAGCCCGUCAACCACUUCAUUCCCCUUCAGGCCGACAUGAGCUGGGACCCAUACCAUGAGAUAGAAAUGUCAACUGAAGGGUCCUGGAGGGUCCACGGAGGAACCUUAGACGGCCUCAGGUCUGCCACACUUACAUCUUUGAGCCCGGCCUCCUCAACAAUGCUUUGGGUGUAAGCGCCAAAAG